GCUUACGGCCACACCACCCUGAGCGCGCCCGAUCUCGUCUGAUCUCGGAAGCUAAGCAGGGUCGGGCCUGGUUAGUACUUGGAUGGAGACCGCCUGGGAAUACCAGGUGCCGUAAGCU
Molecule: ribosomal RNA, 118 nt
Organism: Lates calcarifer (barramundi perch)
Lineage: Eukaryota; Metazoa; Chordata; Actinopteri; Centropomidae
Source: Ensembl